ACUAUUAUGAACCCGUCAUCAUUAUUGAAUAGUUUCAUAAAUUAUGAAAGUUACCAUGCUAGAACUAGUAACAAGAAAAUGAAUUUCUCCAUAUUGUAAGCUUACACCAAAAAUGGACUCCCCAUUGGUACUUAACGUUAAUGAUCCUAAUAUUUCAACAACUCAAGAAAACUAAAUAGCUUAAAUCGUUAACCUUACACUAGAACACUCCUGGAAAGAUUAAAAGGAAGAGAAGGAACUCGGCAAUAUCUAGUCCCGCCUGUUUACCAAAAACAUCGCCUCUUGCACCCACCCAUAAGAGGUCCCGCCUGCCCAGUGAUUAAUUUAACGGCCGCGUGAUUUUAAACGCGCAAAGGUAGCGAAAUCAUUUGUUCUUUAAAUGAGGACCAGUAUCAACGGCAUCACGAGGACUCAACUGUCUCCUCUCCCAAAUCAGUGAAACUAAUCUCCCUGUGAAAAAGCAGGAAUAACAAUAUAAGACGAGAAGACCCCAUGGAGCUUUAAACUUUAAGCAACUUUUAAUACUACAUUCCUUAAAAUAUUCUAGCUAUGCCCAAUAGUUUUAGGUUGGGGCGACCGCGGAGUAAAACUUAGCCUCCAUGACAAAAGGACAUUUCCUAAUCCAAGAAAGACAUUUCUAAGAAUCACUAACCUGAUGUUUCAUGACCCGACUAUCGAUCAACGAACCAAGUUACCCUGGGGAUAACAGCGCAAUCCAUUUUGAAAGCUCCUAUCGACAAAUGGGUUUACGACCUCGAUGU
RNAcentral lists this ribosomal RNA (761 nucleotides) under Occidozyga lima. Its description in RNAcentral is "partial large subunit ribosomal RNA". It matches the Rfam family "Bacterial large subunit ribosomal RNA", at positions 1536 to 2532 of the family's 2925-position model. The record is from RNAcentral. Lineage: Eukaryota; Metazoa; Chordata; Amphibia; Anura; Dicroglossidae.